UGUGAACUCGAAGAGUAGGGCGGGACACGUGGUAUCCUGUCUGAAUAUGGGGGGACCAUCCUCCAAGGCUAAAUACUCCUGACUGACCGAUAGUGAACCAGUACCGUGAGGGAAAGGCGAAAAGAACCCCGGCGAGGGGAGUGAAAAAGAACCUGAAACCGUGUACGUACAAGCAGUGGGAGCACCUUCGGGUGUGACUGCGUACCUUUUGUAUAAUGGGUCAGCGACUUAUAUUCUGUAGCAAGGUUAACCGUAUAGGGGAGCCGCAGGGAAACCGAGUCUUAACUGGGCGUUAAGUUGCAGGGUAUAGACCCGAAACCCGGUGAUCUAGCCAUGGGCAGGUUGAAGGUUGGGUAACACUAACUGGAGGACCGAACCGACUAAUGUUGAAAAAUUAGCGGAUGACUUGUGGCUGGGGGUGAAAGGCCAAUCAAACCGGGAGAUAGCUGGUUCUCCCCGAAAGCUAUUUAGGUAGCGCCUCGUGAACUCAUCUUCGGGGGUAGAGCACUGUUUCGGCUAGGGGGUCAUCCCGACUUACCAACCCGAUGCAAACUACGAAUACCGAAGAAUGUUAUCACGGGAGACACACGGCGGGUGCUAACGUCCGUCGUGAAGAGGGAAACAACCCAGACCGCCAGCUAAGGUCCCAAAGUCAUGGUUAAGUGGGA
This 668-nucleotide ribosomal RNA is filed under the name Klebsiella pneumoniae. Its description in RNAcentral is "partial 23S ribosomal RNA". It matches the Rfam family "Bacterial large subunit ribosomal RNA", at positions 398 to 1068 of the family's 2925-position model. The record is from RNAcentral. Lineage: Bacteria; Pseudomonadati; Pseudomonadota; Gammaproteobacteria; Enterobacterales; Enterobacteriaceae.